CCUACGGGCGGCAGCAGUGAGGAAUCUUGGUCAAUGGCCGGAAGGCUGAACCAGCCAAGCCGCGUGAAGGACGAAGGUGCCAAGCAUUGUAAACUUCUUUUGUCAAGGGACAAAAUCAGGCUCGAGAGCCUGACCGAGGGUACUUGAAGAAAAAGCAUCGGCUAACUCCGUGCCAGCAGCCGCGGUAAUACGGAGGAUGCGAGCGUUAUCCGGAUUUAUUGGGUUUAAAGGGUGCGUAGGCGGACUGUUAAGUCAGCGGUAAAAGCCCGGGGCUCAACCCCGGCGAGCCGUUGAAACUGGCGGUCUUGAGAUGUCGAGAGGUAUGCGGAAUGCGCAGUGUAGCGGUGAAAUGCGUAGAGAUUGCGCAGAACUCCGAUUGCGAAGGCAGCAUACCGGCGGCGAUCUGACGCUGAGGCACGAAAGCGUGGGUAUCGAACAGGAUUAGAUACCCAAGUAGUC
RNAcentral lists this ribosomal RNA (459 nucleotides) under uncultured bacterium. RNAcentral describes it as "partial 16S ribosomal RNA". It matches the Rfam family "Bacterial small subunit ribosomal RNA", at positions 338 to 795 of the family's 1533-position model. The record is from RNAcentral.